This 30-nucleotide non-coding RNA is filed under the name Homo sapiens (human). The record is from RNAcentral. Lineage: Eukaryota; Metazoa; Chordata; Mammalia; Primates; Hominidae.
UGGUAACAUUUUGCUAAGUUGUACUAUAGG